GACGAACCGUGCGACCGUUGUUCGGAUUCACUGGGCUUAAAGGGCGCGUAGGCGGGUGCUCAAGUCCGGGGUGAAAUCCUCCAGCUCAACUGGAGAAUAGCCUUGGAUACUGGGCACCUCGAGUGAGGUAGGGGCGGGCGGAACUUCCGGUGGAGCGGUGAAAUGCGUAGAUAUCGGAAGGAACGCCGGUGGCGAAAGCGGCGUGCUGGACCUUUUCUGACGCUGAUGCGCGAAAGCCAGGGGAGCGAACGGG
This 253-nucleotide ribosomal RNA is filed under the name uncultured bacterium. Its description in RNAcentral is "partial 16S ribosomal RNA". It matches the Rfam family "Bacterial small subunit ribosomal RNA", at positions 524 to 776 of the family's 1533-position model. The record is from RNAcentral.